Molecule: ribosomal RNA, 253 nt
Filed under: uncultured bacterium
Lineage: Bacteria
Description: partial 16S ribosomal RNA
Rfam family: Bacterial small subunit ribosomal RNA
Source: RNAcentral
UACAGAGGGUGCAAGCGUUGUUCGGAAUUAUUGGGCGUAAAGCGCGUGUAGGCGGCUUUGCAAGUCGGGUGUGAAAGCCCUCAGCUCAACUGAGGAAGUGCGCCCGAAACUGCAGAGCUUGGGUACCGGAGAGGAUGGCGGAAUUCCCCAAGUAGAGGUGAAAUUCGUAGAUAUGGGGAGGAACACCGGUGGCGAAGGCGGCCAUCUGGACGGAUACUGACGCUGAGACGCGAAAGCGUGGGGAGCAAACAGG